This 782-nucleotide ribosomal RNA is filed under the name uncultured Neocallimastigales. RNAcentral describes it as "partial large subunit ribosomal RNA". It matches the Rfam family "Eukaryotic large subunit ribosomal RNA", at positions 24 to 629 of the family's 3401-position model. The record is from RNAcentral. Lineage: Eukaryota; Fungi; Neocallimastigomycota; Neocallimastigomycetes; Neocallimastigales.
UUAUCUCUGUAGAGUCUGCAUAUCAAUAAGCGGAGGAAAAGAAACUAACUAGGAUUCCCUCAGUAACGGCGAGUGAAGCGGGAAGAGCUCAAAUUUGAAAUCUUCAAGGUUCUACCUUGACGAAUUGUAGUUUAAAGAAGUGUUUUCUGUUGGAUGUUUUGGUAAAAGUUCUUUGGAAUAGGACAUCAUAGAGGGUGAGAAUCCCGUAUUUGACCAUUACUUCCAGCGUUGUGAUACACUUUCAAAGAGUCGGAUUGUUUGGGAAUGCAGUCCAAAAUGGGUGGUAAAUUUCAUCUAAAGCUAAAUAUUGGCGAGAGACCGAUAGCGAACAAGUACCGUGAGGGAAAGAUGAAAAGAACUUUGAAAAGAGAGUUAAACAGUACGUGAAAUUGUCAAAAGGGAAGCGUUUGACACCAGUGUUGUUUUCUCGAAAAUCAAUUAAAAAAGGCAGGAUUUUGUGUUGUAUUGACUUUAUCAGCUUUCUGCACUCUUUUCUUGUCUUUUUUUAAUGCACUUUUCGUUUAACAAGUCAACAUCAAUUUCUUUUGUUGUAAAAGAGGUCAUUGGAAGGUGGCUUUCCUUUCGGAUGAAAGUGUUUAUAGCCUUUGGCCUCUGCAAUCGGAGAGAUUGAGGUCUGCAGCGUAGAUCCUUCGGGGCUAGAUACAUUAGAUGCUAAGUUAUAGCCUUUUCAUAGACAACUUGUUGACUAUAAUUCAGUCAUGUAGCUUACUCGCUUAUGCUAUUUUACCUACGCUUAGGAUGUUGAUAGUCACAGCGUGUAC